This 429-nucleotide ribosomal RNA is filed under the name Pseudomonadota bacterium. RNAcentral describes it as "Proteobacteria bacterium partial 16S ribosomal RNA". It matches the Rfam family "Bacterial small subunit ribosomal RNA", at positions 355 to 776 of the family's 1533-position model. The record is from RNAcentral. Lineage: Bacteria; Pseudomonadati; Pseudomonadota.
UGGGGAAUAUUGGACAAUGGGCGAAAGCCUGAUCCAGCCAUGCCGCGUGUGUGAAGAAGGUCUUCGGAUUGUAAAGCACUUUAAGUUGGGAGGAAGGGCAGUAAGCGAAUACCUUGCUGUUUUGACGUUACCGACAGAAUAAGCACCGGCUAACUCUGUGCCAGCAGCCGCGGUAAUACAGAGGGUGCAAGCGUUAAUCGGAAUUACUGGGCGUGAAGCGCGCGUAGGUGGUUCGUUAAGUUGAAUGUGAAAGCCCCGGGCUCAACCUGGGAACUGCAUCAAAAACUGGCGAGCUAGAGUAGGGCAGAGGGUGGUGGAAUUUCCUGUGUAGCGGUGAAAUGCGUAGAUAUAGGAAGGAACACCAGUGGCGAAGGCGACCACCUGGGCUCAUACUGACACUGAGGUGCGAAAGCGUGGGGAGCAAACAGG